AGUAGGGCCUGCCCACUGAAAUUUUAAAGGGCCGCAGUAUUUUAACUGUGCAAAGGUAGCAUAAUCAUUAGUUUUUUAAUUGAAAGCUGGAAUGAAUGGUUUGAUGAAAAAAUAGCUGUUUCAAUAUUAAUUUUUUAAAACUUUAUUUUUAAGUUAAAAAGCUUAAAUACUUAUAAAAGACGAGAAGACCCUAUAGAGUUUAAUUAAUAAAAGAUUAUUAAAUUUAAGAAUUAAUUUUUUAGUAUUUUUUUAUUAAUUUAAUUGGGGUGAUUGAAAAAUUAAAAAAACUUUUUCUAUAUAAAUACAUUUAUUUAUGAAUAUUUGAUCCAAAUAAUUGAUUAUAAGAAU
This 348-nucleotide ribosomal RNA is filed under the name Scymnus paralleus. RNAcentral's name for it is "partial large subunit ribosomal RNA". The record is from RNAcentral. Lineage: Eukaryota; Metazoa; Arthropoda; Insecta; Coleoptera; Coccinellidae.